Salvia hispanica is the source of this 667-nucleotide long non-coding RNA. RefSeq lists it as uncharacterized. Lineage: Eukaryota; Viridiplantae; Streptophyta; Magnoliopsida; Lamiales; Lamiaceae. The record is from RefSeq and is a predicted model, not a curated record.
UGUUAAACUAGUAUUUUAAAGCGAAUUAAAAUACUAAAUCAAAGAUUAGAUGUAUAAAAAAAAAAGAGCUCAACGUAAAAGUGCUCACGUCACGAUUCACACUAAAUGCAACGCCAAAUUCACAUUCAACCACAUCGCAUAAACCUCCUCCCUCCGCCGCCGCACCUCAUUCGCGAUCUGCGGCGGCCGGCGGAGAUUAACCGUGCGAAAUCUCACAACAUCAGAUCCCGCUGCUCUGCGGCAUCAGAUCUCGAAAAAUCAGUGAAAACAUCAGCGAUUCGACUCAUACACAACGCGGUGGAAACAUUAUUGGAAAUGUGUAGCUGAAAUUGGGAAGAAUAAAAAAGCAGAAGAGAGUUAUAAAAAGGGAAAGGGGUAUUACUACCGGUGGCGGAUUAAGGGAGGCAAGAGGAGGCGGUCGCCCCCGUCGUGUAACUAUUUUUCCCUUAUCGAAACGUCAUGUCCGCUUCCUCCGUUUGCUUCUGGCGUCGGCUCGAACAACGAAAAAAAUAGUCAUGUUCAUACUAAAUCAAGCUUAUACUAUAUAUCCCGCUCCCUCCGUUUCUGGAUCCUGGAUUCGCCACUGAUUACUAUGAUUGUACAAUUCAAUAAUUUUAGGAUUGUAUAAUUCAAUAAUUUUUCUAUAAUCGAAUCGAUUUUUACUUGA